UGGGGUCUCUGACAAGCACAAUUUACAUUGAGCUCGCCCUGCGCUGCUAUUUACUUUGAAACCUGAUUAGUAUUAGUCUAUUGUCACAAACAGAGGAGGAAACCCUGGAUAGAAUGGCCGAAAUAAGGGUAAAAGCGAGGACAAAGCUUUGUGCACGUGAAAUAAACAAACGUGCUAGGCGAAAGGGACUGGCAUAGAAUUCCUCAAAGUUUUAAAGGAUACUGUGUUCCUGAUGGAGAUUUCAAACGGAGCAGCUGGUGCCUGUUUUGUAGAUUUAGGAAAGACAUUCCAGGGUAAAAUCACUUAAAAUGAGUGGAACUUAGCACAAAUAACAUUGACACGGGGUAGUUUGAAUAUGACAACAUUUCGCCCACAUGGUAACCAAAGCCACCAGAAGUGUAUUCAGUGUGCUUACAAGCCUGGUGCGCCGACAUGCAUCCCAUAAUAGCCGAACUUAAAUAGAGUAUAGGGUAUGUGAAAAUAAAGUGAAUAGUUUAUGAAUACCUUUGUUAUGUCUGUCCGAGUGUAGUCAGCUAUUAAAAGAUAAUGGAGCGCAAAUAUGCAAGUACCCCCCUUGUUAACGCAUAGGAGGAAUGGGUGUUUUUAAGUAUUCAACAACAGAACUCUUCCCGUCCCUGUCUCGGACACUGCACGGAGACUCCCGGUCAUGUCUCCAGCUCUUUGAAAAGAUCGGGAAGAGAGCUGGACGGAGAGAGAGAAAGAGAGAGAGGGGUGACAGUGAAUGAGAGCAGCGAGAAGAAGGCUAUAGCACGAAAACAGGAGAGAAAAAGAGAACGUGGACAGCAGGGUAUUAAAAGAAGAAGCACUCAGCGACAACUAUUAGGCUAUAGUGGAUGGGAAACAUCGGUACCUGAAUUUG
Oncorhynchus mykiss (rainbow trout) is the source of this 880-nucleotide long non-coding RNA. RefSeq lists it as uncharacterized. The record is from RefSeq and is a predicted model, not a curated record. NCBI's taxonomy places the organism in Eukaryota, Metazoa, Chordata, Actinopteri, Salmoniformes, Salmonidae.